UCCGGUGUGGGUCUAGUGGCUAGGAUACCUGGCUCUCACCCAGGAGGCCGGGUUCGAUUCCCGGUACCGGAA
RNAcentral lists this transfer RNA (72 nucleotides) under Schistocerca americana (American grasshopper). Its description in RNAcentral is "tRNA-Glu". It matches the Rfam family "tRNA". Rfam says of the family: Transfer RNA (tRNA) molecules are approximately 80 nucleotides in length. Their secondary structure includes four short double-helical elements and three loops (D, anti-codon, and T loops). Further hydrogen bonds mediate the characteristic L-shaped molecular structure. tRNAs have two regions of fundamental functional importance: the anti-codon, which is responsible for specific mRNA codon recognition, and the 3' end, to which the tRNAs corresponding amino acid is attached (by aminoacyl-tRNA synthetases). tRNAs cope with the degeneracy of the genetic code in two manners: having more than one tRNA (with a specific anti-codon) for a particular amino acid; and 'wobble' base-pairing, i.e. permitting non-standard base-pairing at the 3rd anti-codon position. Lineage: Eukaryota; Metazoa; Arthropoda; Insecta; Orthoptera; Acrididae. The record is from RNAcentral.